This 506-nucleotide long non-coding RNA is filed under the name Gossypium raimondii (Peruvian cotton). Its description in RNAcentral is "long non-coding RNA (GRAI_LNC003664)". The record is from RNAcentral. Lineage: Eukaryota; Viridiplantae; Streptophyta; Magnoliopsida; Malvales; Malvaceae.
UUUACUGUUUUUUUUUUACAAUUUGCUUUCAUUCUGCUACUGUUUCUAUUGCUAUUUCUGUGUCUGUCUCUUUUUUUGCCUUGUUUGCAGGUCUUGGCGAGGUUAAUGGAGAUGACAGGACUCAAGUCUUGCCAUUUUGGUGCAAGGUUGUCAGUCCUCGGGCGGUGGGCGCACUGCGGAGGCACAUGGGUGGCAGUGAAGGUGCGACGUAUUAGGGUUUCUGGGGGCUAGGUUUUUCUUUGAUUUUACUGAAAAUGUUUAAGUGUUGGGCUAUGGUUGAUUUGGGUUUUGGCCGUUUGAGCCUGUUGAAAAUGGACUGGACUAUUAAUUUUUAUCUUUGUUUUGUUUUUUUGGUUUAUUUUCUGUUUUUUGAUUUUCUAGCGGGUCGGGCAAAUUUAGGCCUCUACAGUUGCCCCUCUUUGCUCAUUGUCGUGUAACAAGAAUGGAGCAAAGACCUUAAGGAGAACCAAUUUUGCCUGGUCUUGUCGAAUCUUGACUUCUUGGUG